GUAGGGGGCAAGCGUUGUCCGGAUUUAUUGGGCGUAAAGCGCGUGUAGGCGGCCAUACAGGUCCGUUGUGAAAACUCGAGGCUUAACCUCGAGACGUCGAUGGAAACCGUAUGGCUAGAGUCCGGAAGAGGAGAGUGGAAUUCCUGGUGUAGCGGUGAAAUGCGCAGAUAUCAGGAAGAACACCCGUGGCGAAGGCGGCUCUCUGGGACGGUACUGACGCUGAGACGCGAAAGCGUGGGGAGCGAACAGGAUUAGAUACCCUGGUAGUCCACGCCGUAAACGAUGGGUGCUAGGUGUGGGCGGUGUCGACUCCGUCCGUGCCGAAGCUAACGCAUUAAGCACCCCGCCUGGGGAGUACGGCCGCAAGGCUA
This 371-nucleotide ribosomal RNA is filed under the name uncultured bacterium. RNAcentral describes it as "bacterial SSU rRNA". It matches the Rfam family "Bacterial small subunit ribosomal RNA", at positions 527 to 896 of the family's 1533-position model. The record is from RNAcentral.